GAUGAACGCUGACAGAAUGCUUAACACAUGCCAGUCAACUUGAAUUUGGGUUUUUAACUUAGGUUUGGGUGGCGGACGGGUGAGUAACGCGUAAAGAACUUGCCUCACAGCUAGGGACAACAUUUGGAAACGAAUGCUAAUACCUAAUAUUAUGAUAAUAGGGCAUCCUAUAAUUAUGAAAGCUAUAAGCGCUGUGAGAGGGCUUUGCGUCCCAUUAGCUAGUUGGAGAGGUAACGGCUCACCAAGGCGAUGAUGGGUAGCCGGCCUGAGAGGGUGAUCGGCCACAAGGGGACUGAGACACGGCCCUUACUCCUACGGGAGGCAGCAGUGGGGAAUAUUGGACAAUGGACCGAGAGUCUGAUCCAGCAAUUCUGUGUGCACGAUGAAGUUUUUCGGAAUGUAAAGUGCUUUCAGUUGGGAAGAAACAAAUGACGGUACCAACAGAAGAAGUGACGGCUAAAUACGUG
This 467-nucleotide ribosomal RNA is filed under the name uncultured bacterium. RNAcentral describes it as "partial 16S ribosomal RNA". It matches the Rfam family "Bacterial small subunit ribosomal RNA", at positions 28 to 507 of the family's 1533-position model. The record is from RNAcentral.